Molecule: unclassified non-coding RNA, 502 nt
Filed under: uncultured Acaulospora
Lineage: Eukaryota; Fungi; Glomeromycota; Glomeromycetes; Diversisporales; Acaulosporaceae
Description: SSU rRNA
Rfam family: Eukaryotic small subunit ribosomal RNA
Source: RNAcentral
CCAAUAGCGUAUAUUAAAGUUGUUGCAGUUAAAAAGCUCGUAGUUGAAUUUCGGGGUUCAUACGUUGGUCAGGCUUUUUGGUCUGUACUAGCGUAAUGGAUUCCUACCUUCUGAAUAACCGGCAUGCCAUUAAUUUGGUGCGCCGGGGAAGCAGGACUGUUACCUUGAAAAAAUUAGAGUGCUUAAAGCAGGCUAUCGCCUGAAUACAUUAGCAUGGAAUAAUGAAAUAGGACGGCAUGGUUCUAUUUUGUUGGUUUCUAGGAUCACCGUAAUGAUUAAUAGGGAUAGUUGGGGGCAUUAGUAUUCAAUUGUCAGAGGUGAAAUUCUUGGAUUUAUUGAAGACUAACUUCUGCGAAAGCAUUUGCCAAGGAUGUUUUCGUUAAUCAAGAACGAAAGUUAGGGGAUCGAAGACGAUCAGAUACCGUCGUAGUCUUAACCAUAAACUAUGCCGACUAGGGAUCGGACGAUGUUAAUUUUUUAAUGACUCGUUCGGCGCCUUACG